Molecule: long non-coding RNA, 310 nt
Filed under: Salmo salar (Atlantic salmon)
Lineage: Eukaryota; Metazoa; Chordata; Actinopteri; Salmoniformes; Salmonidae
Description: lncRNA (ENSSSAG00000113976.1)
Source: RNAcentral
GUUACAGCCAGACCAGAAGAGAAGAUGGAGACUGGGCUUUAAGGUUAGUUACAGCCAGAGGAGAAGAGGGAGACUGGGCUUUAAGGUUAGUUACAGCCAGACCAGAAGAGAAGAUGGAGACUGGGUUAUAAGGUUAGUUACAGCCAGACCAGAAGAGAAGAGGGAGACUGGGUUAUAAGGUUAGUUACAGCCAGACCAGAGGAGAAGAGGGAGACUGGGUUAUAAGGUUAGUUACAGCCAGACAAGAAGAGAAGAGGGAGACUGGGUUAUAAGGUUAGUUACAGCCAGACCAGAAGAGAAGAGGGAGACU